Long non-coding RNA from Clupea harengus (Atlantic herring), 596 nucleotides. The record is from Ensembl. NCBI's taxonomy places the organism in Eukaryota, Metazoa, Chordata, Actinopteri, Clupeiformes, Clupeidae.
GGCUACGGUAGCGCAAGAGGAACCUACAGACCGUACAUGGACAGACGAGGACACGAGGGCCUUAAUCCCGUGGCGGUCGGUGCACAAAUCCCUCUUCACGGGGAAGAGGAACGCCUCCGUGACUGGAUUUGAGGUCUUCAUAAAGGAGAGCGGGCUUGGGAGGUUGGAUCCCAAGCUCGUGAAAAAGAGGUGGGAGAACCUCAUCCACAAAUAUAAGAGACGUUUCCUGGAGGUGCUGGUGCUGGUUCUGGUGCUGGCUGGUCCUCUGCUGCCCUCCCGACAUCUGCAUCUGGCUCCAGCAGGUCACCGUUGGUGAGGCAGAUGUUGUGGAGCACAGUGCAGCAGACAAUGACCUCUGGCACAAACCUCACAUCCACCUCCAGGGCCUUCAAGAAGAUGGACCGCCAUCGCGUCUUCAGUAUCCCAAAGGACCUCUCCACAACACACCUCGCCUUUGACAGGCAGCAGUUGUAGCGUGCUUGGAGGUGGUUGCGGACAGGCUGCCUGAAGGGGGUCAUGAGGCAGAUGGGUUGGGACAGGCAGGGGUAGCCACCAUCCCCAAGGAUACAGUAUCCUGGUGGAGGGUAUGACUGCUC